Molecule: transfer RNA, 88 nt
Filed under: Puniceicoccales bacterium
Lineage: Bacteria; Pseudomonadati; Verrucomicrobiota; Opitutia; Puniceicoccales
Description: tRNA-Ser
Rfam family: tRNA
About the family: Transfer RNA (tRNA) molecules are approximately 80 nucleotides in length. Their secondary structure includes four short double-helical elements and three loops (D, anti-codon, and T loops).
Source: RNAcentral
GGAGAGGUGACAGAGUGGCCGAUUGUGCGGCACUGGAAAUGCCGUGUACCUAGCGGUACCGGGGGUUCGAAUCCCCCCCUCUCCGCCA